RNAcentral lists this unclassified non-coding RNA (376 nucleotides) under uncultured Pseudomonadota bacterium. Its description in RNAcentral is "uncultured proteobacterium contains 16S-23S intergenic spacer region". The record is from RNAcentral. Lineage: Bacteria; Pseudomonadati; Pseudomonadota.
UCCGGUUUAACACCGGCAGUCCCUCUAGAGAUCCACUUUCGUGGCAACUAAAGGCGAGGGUUGCGCUCGUUGCGGGACUUAACCCAACAUCUCACGGCACGAGCUGACGACAGCCAUGCAGCACCUGUCAACCUGCCCCGUGAGGGGAGGAAUCCAUCUCUGGAAACCGUCAAGUUGAUUUCUAACCCAGGUAAGGUUUUUCGUGUUGCGUCGAAUUAAACCACAUACUCCACCGCUUGUGCGGGCCCCCGUCAAUUCCUUUGAUUUUUAAUCUUGCGACCGUACUCCCCAGGCGGAUAACUUAAUGCGUUAGCUGCGAUACAGAAGGGGUCAAUACCUCCUACAUCUAGUUAUCAUCGUUUACGGCGUGGACUAC